This 770-nucleotide ribosomal RNA is filed under the name uncultured bacterium. Its description in RNAcentral is "bacterial SSU rRNA". It matches the Rfam family "Bacterial small subunit ribosomal RNA", at positions 28 to 776 of the family's 1533-position model. The record is from RNAcentral.
AUUGAACGCUGGCGGCAGGCCUAACACAUGCAAGUCGAGCGGCAGCGACUUAACUGAACCUUCGGGGAACGUUAAGGGCGGCGAGCGGCGGACGGGUGAGUAAUGCCUGGGAAUAUGCCCUGAUGUGGGGGAUAACUAUUGGAAACGAUAGCUAAUACCGCAUAAUCUCUUCGGAGCAAAGAGGGGGACCUUCGGGCCUCUCGCGUCAGGAUUAGCCCAGGUGGGAUUAGCUUGUUGGUGAGGUAAUGGCUCACCAAGGCAACGAUCCCUAGCUGGUCUGAGAGGAUGAUCAGCCACACUGGAACUGAGACACGGUCCAGACUCCUACGGGAGGCAGCAGUGGGGAAUAUUGCACAAUGGGGGAAACCCUGAUGCAGCCAUGCCGCGUGUGUGAAGAAGGCCUUCGGGUUGUAAAGCACUUUCAGUAGGGAGGAAGGUAGUGCAGUUAACACCUGCAUUAUUUGACGUUACCUACAGAAGAAGCACCGGCUAACUCCGUGCCAGCAGCCGCGGUAAUACGGAGGGUGCGAGCGUUAAUCGGAAUUACUGGGCGUAAAGCGCAUGCAGGCGGCCUGUUAAGUCAGAUGUGAAAGCCCGGGGCUUAACCUCGGAAUUGCAUUUGAAACUGGCAGGCUAGAGUCUUGUAGAGGGGGGUAGAAUUUCAGGUGUAGCGGUGAAAUGCGUAGAGAUCUGAAGGAAUAUCAGUGGCGAAAGGCGGCCCCCUGGACAAAGACUGACGCUCAGAUGCGAAAGCGUGGGGAGCAAACAGG